GAAACGCCCGGUUACAUUUCGAACCCGGAAGCUAAG
Molecule: ribosomal RNA, 36 nt
Filed under: Streptomyces griseoflavus
Lineage: Bacteria; Bacillati; Actinomycetota; Actinomycetes; Kitasatosporales; Streptomycetaceae
Also listed under: 6 other names
Source: RNAcentral